Molecule: unclassified non-coding RNA, 646 nt
Filed under: uncultured Prochlorococcus sp.
Lineage: Bacteria; Bacillati; Cyanobacteriota; Cyanophyceae; Synechococcales; Prochlorococcaceae
Description: partial 16S-23S ribosomal RNA intergenic spacer; may also contain 16S ribosomal RNA and 23S ribosomal RNA
Rfam family: tRNA (bases 305-377)
Source: RNAcentral
UUGUGGAGGAGGACGCCGAAGGUGGGGCUAAUGACUGGGGUGAAGUCGUAACAAGGUAGCCGUACCGGAAGGUGCGGCUGGAUCACCUCCUAACAGGGAGACAACAAAAUGUUUAAUAUUAUUAUUUUGUCACCUUAGGUCGAUCGGUAUCUCACGUUUUUAAUUUAUUAAGAAUUUCAUUUCCUAAGUUUUUCUAGGUCACACCCAUUUUUUUUCCUGGGCCAUUAGCUCAGGUGGUUAGAGCGCACCCCUGAUAAGGGUGAGGUCCCUGGUUCAAGUCCAGGAUGGCCCAUAUCUCUAUGUUGGGGGUAUAGCUCAGUUGGUAGAGCGCCUGCUUUGCAAGCAGGAUGUCAGCGGUUCGAGUCCGCUUACCUCCACUGAUCACCACCUCUUCCAUAAUCGGUAGAAAGGAAAUUUUUUGAGUUGUGAUCAAAUUCUGAAAGAAUCUAGCUUCCUAAUGAAAUUAUUAAGAUGCUGGACUCAUUGAAUUAAUUUCAUUGUUUUCAGAGAACCUUGACAACUGCAUAGAUUAUUUUUAAAGACAAUAAGCAUCUUUAAUGAUGCAGAUUUAUUAUUUGUGCAAAUGCAUUAAUAACAAUUCUAUUAAGCUGAUGCUUCAAUUUUGAAGUUAUUGGUCAAGCUACAA